Molecule: long non-coding RNA, 1305 nt
Filed under: Homo sapiens (human)
Lineage: Eukaryota; Metazoa; Chordata; Mammalia; Primates; Hominidae
Description: HSALNT0372304
Source: RNAcentral
CUUCAGGAGUGAAGCUGCAGACCUUCGCGUGAUGGAGGUUGAGAAGUCCAACUUCAAGGCACCACAUCUGGUGAGAGCCUUCAUUCCGAUGACAGCCUUCAUGCUGGUAAGAUUUUCUUCAGAGUUCCAAGGUGGUGCACGGCAUCACAUGGCGAAGGAAAUGAGCGUGCUAGCUCAGGUGUCUCUUCCUCUUCUUAUAAAGCCACCAGUCCCACUCCUGUGCUAGUAACUCUUUAAUCCAUCAACCCAUUAAUCCAUGAAUAGAUUAACCCAUGAGGCCUCUGCCCUCAGGACCCAAUCACCUCUUAAAGGCCUGACCUGUCAAUAUUGCCAUACUGGGGACUCAGUUUCAACAUGAGUUUUGAAAGGGACAAACAUUCAAUCCAUAGUAACAUGAGAGCUUUUCAAAGCCCUUCUUUGUUGAAGUAUGUCCUUCUCCAGCCUCUUUUUUCCCAGGCUUUUUGUUUUUUCUAUUGCUUGUGCAGCUGUUAUCCUUUGCUACAGGUGGCAAUAGCUAAUACAUUUGCCUUUAAAUUUGUUUGACAAACACCACCCUGGAAGUAGCCUCAACUCUGGGGAAGCUCCAAGACAGGUAAAAUACAGGUAAGCCCUUGAGCAGAUCCUUCAGGAAGCUACCAUAUGGGUCAAAACACAGAACCACAAUUCUUUAAUUCUUUGAGAAUAAGGUCUGUAUUGUUCCCUCUGUUACCAGCAACCUGCAGCAGGAAAAUGGGCUUCAGUUUUCAAGUCUGCAGCUGAGUUGGGAAGUUGCGGACAGUAACCAGAGGAAAGGCCACAUGGGGACAAGAGAGGGCAACUGUCUACAAAUCUGGAAGAGAGACUUCAGAAGAAACCAGCACUGAUGGCAUCUGAUCUUGGACUUCCAGCCUCUGGAUCUAUCUGCCAGAGCCUGAUCUCAUACACACUGAUGUGGUACAGGAAAUGCCACCUGAAAAUAUGGUACCUUGGCAUUUGAGGAAACAGUAGAAGGAGGUCAUAGAAACUAGAAAGAAUUCCUCCUUGCUCUUUGUCCCCCAAAGGAGCCAUAAAACCUGGGCCGAGUUUCUUCUGAAAAUAAGUUAUAAGAUCCUUAUUCCAGAGGGGUCCUGCCCUGUGCCUGGAGGAAAAGAAUGAAGACACAGAGAUGCCUUGAAGAAUCUGAACAAACAGCCCUUGCUAAGUUCCCCCCAGUUUAUUGACAUUAGAUUAGACCUUUUGUCCUCCAAUUAUACUUCUGUGUUCCUGAAAAUACACAUUUUCCCGUUUUUUCUUUUGUUUGCUUUUUUUGAUCUUCAUUUCUGAAGA